CAAAAGGUUUGGUCCUGGCCCUUCUAUUAGUUUUUAGUAAACUUAUACAUGCAAGUAUCCCCGCACCAGUGAGAAUGCCCUCUAAAUCAUCCUGUUGAUAAAAAGGAGCGGGUAUCAGGCACACUCCGCAGUAGCCCAUAACACCUUGCUCAACCACACCCCCACGGGAAACAGCAGUAAUAAAAAUUAAGCUAUAAACGAAAGUUUGACUAAGUUAUACUAAACUACCACAAGGGUUGGUAAAUCUCGUGCCAGCCACCGCGGUCAUACGAUUAACCCAAAUUAAUAGAUUUCGGCGUAAAGAGUGUUAAAGAUAAUACAAAAAAUAAAGUUAAACCUUGGCUAAGCUGUAAAAAGCCCCAGCCACUGUAAAAUAAGCUACGAAAGUGACUUUUAAAAUUCUGACACACGAUAGCCAAGACCCAAACUGGGAUUAGAUACCCCACUAUGCUUGGCCCUAAACCUAAAAAAUUCUAUACAACAAAAUUAUUCGCCAGAGAACUACUAGCAAAAGCUUAAAACUCAAAGGACUUGGCGGUGCUUCACACCCCUCUAGAGGAGCCUGUUCUAUAAUCGAUAAACCCCGAUAACCCCCCAGCCCUUGCCAAAUCGCCUAUAUACCGCCUCUCCCGCAAACCCUAAAAAGGCCAAACAGUAAG
Molecule: ribosomal RNA, 659 nt
Filed under: Miniopterus fuliginosus (Japanese long-fingered bat)
Lineage: Eukaryota; Metazoa; Chordata; Mammalia; Chiroptera; Miniopteridae
Description: partial 12S ribosomal RNA
Rfam family: Bacterial small subunit ribosomal RNA
Source: RNAcentral